Molecule: ribosomal RNA, 1421 nt
Filed under: Pediococcus acidilactici
Lineage: Bacteria; Bacillati; Bacillota; Bacilli; Lactobacillales; Lactobacillaceae
Description: bacterial SSU rRNA
Source: RNAcentral
UGCAGUCGAACGAACUUCCGUUAAUUGAUUAUGACGUGCUUGCACUGAAUGAGAUUUUAACACGAAGUGAGUGGCGGACGGGUGAGUAACACGUGGGUAACCUGCCCAGAAGCAGGGGAUAACACCUGGAAACAGAUGCUAAUACCGUAUAACAGAGAAAACCGCCUGGUUUUCUUUUAAAAGAUGGCUCUGCUAUCACUUCUGGAUGGACCCGCGGCGCAUUAGCUAGUUGGUGAGGUAACGGCUCACCAAGGCGAUGAUGCGUAGCCGACCUGAGAGGGUAAUCGGCCACAUUGGGACUGAGACACGGCCCAGACUCCUACGGGAGGCAGCAGUAGGGAAUCUUCCACAAUGGACGCAAGUCUGAUGGAGCAACGCCGCGUGAGUGAAGAAGGGUUUCGGCUCGUAAAGCUCUGUUGUUAAAGAAGAACGUGGGUGAGAGUAACUGUUCACCCAGUGACGGUAUUUAACCAGAAAGCCACGGCUAACUACGUGCCAGCAGCCGCGGUAAUACGUAGGUGGCAAGCGUUAUCCGGAUUUAUUGGGCGUAAAGCGAGCGCAGGCGGUCUUUUAAGUCUAAUGUGAAAGCCUUCGGCUCAACCGAAGAAGUGCAUUGGAAACUGGGAGACUUGAGUGCAGAAGAGGACAGUGGAACUCCAUGUGUAGCGGUGAAAUGCGUAGAUAUAUGGAAGAACACCAGUGGCGAGGCGGCUGUCUGGUCUGUAACUGACGCUGAGGCUCGAAAGCAUGGGUAGCGAACAGGAUUAGAUACCCUGGUAGUCCAUGCCGUAAACGAUGAUUACUAAGUGUUGGAGGGUUUCCGCCCUUCAGUGCUGCAGCUAACGCAUUAAGUAAUCCGCCUGGGGAGUACGACCGCAAGGUUGAAACUCAAAAGAAUUGACGGGGGCCCGCACAAGCGGUGGAGCAUGUGGUUUAAUUCGAAGCUACGCGAAGAACCUUACSAGGUCUUGACAUCUUCUGCCAACCUAAGAGAUUAGGCGUUCCCUUCGGGGACAGAAUGACAGGUGGUGCAUGGUUGUCGUCAGCUCGUGUCGUGAGAUGUUGGGUUAAGUCCCGCAACGAGCGCAACCCUUAUUACUAGUUGCCAGCAUUCAGUUGGGCACUCUAGUGAGACUGCCGGUGACAAACCGGAGGAAGGUGGGGACGACGUCAAAUCAUCAUGCCCCUUAUGACCUGGGCUACACACGUGCUACAAUGGAUGGUACAACGAGUCGCGAAACCGCGAGGUUUAGCUAAUCUCUUAAAACCAUUCUCAGUUCGGACUGUAGGCUGCAACUCGCCUACACGAAGUCGGAAUCGCUAGUAAUCGCGGAUCAGCAUGCCGCGGUGAAUACGUUCCCGGGCCUUGUACACACCGCCCGUCACACCAUGAGAGUUUGUAACACCCAAAGCCGGUGGGG